AACGCACCUUGCGCCCUUUGGUAUUCCGAAGGGCAUGCCUGUUUGAGUGUCAUUAAAUCUUCAACUUCAAAUGUUUUUGAAGCUUUGGACUAUGGAGGUCUUGCCGGCAGAAAUGUUAGCUCCUCUUAAAUGCAUUAGCGGAACUCUUUUAUGAAUGGACCAGCUUUGGUUUGAUAAUCCUAUCUAUGCUGUUGCUGUGGACAUAUUAUACUUUAUUCUUGUAGUUCAGCUUCAAAUUGUCUUUGGACUGUCUCAUCAACGAGGCACACACUUUUUUGACCUCAAAUCAGGUAGGAUUACCCGCUGAACUUAA
RNAcentral lists this unclassified non-coding RNA (313 nucleotides) under uncultured fungus. Its description in RNAcentral is "sequence contains ITS2". The stretch from base 1 to 52 matches the Rfam family "5.8S ribosomal RNA", at positions 103 to 154 of the family's 154-position model. The record is from RNAcentral. Lineage: Eukaryota; Fungi.